CUCGGCCGCGACCCCAGGUCAGGCGGGAUUACCCG
RNAcentral lists this ribosomal RNA (35 nucleotides) under Burckella polymera. RNAcentral describes it as "partial 26S ribosomal RNA". Lineage: Eukaryota; Viridiplantae; Streptophyta; Magnoliopsida; Ericales; Sapotaceae. The record is from RNAcentral.